Regulatory RNA element from Nocardia farcinica IFM 10152, 43 nucleotides. It matches the Rfam family "L31-Actinobacteria ribosomal protein leader". The record is from Rfam. NCBI's taxonomy places the organism in Bacteria, Bacillati, Actinomycetota, Actinomycetes, Mycobacteriales, Nocardiaceae.
UCGGUUCCGGUUCACGUUCACGCCCGUGGGCGACCCGGCGACC